This 559-nucleotide long non-coding RNA is filed under the name Homo sapiens (human). RNAcentral describes it as "novel transcript". Lineage: Eukaryota; Metazoa; Chordata; Mammalia; Primates; Hominidae. The record is from RNAcentral.
GUAGCUCAGGAAUCUGCUCCUCCCUCCAGCACCAUGGCAACAGGCCUCUGAGAACUGCUGAUCUGACGCCCUGGACGCCGGAAAUCUGAGAUGAAGGUGCCGGCAGGGCCCUGCCCGCUCUGAAGUCUCUGGGGGAAGCUUCUUUGCCUCUUCCAGCUUCUGGUGGCUCCACGCACUGCUGGGCUCGUGGCUGCCUCCCUCUGGUCUCUGCCCCGGUCUGCACGUGGCCUUCCCUGCGUGUUUCUGUGUCCUUGCUGCUGCUUAGAAGCACAGCAGCCAUUGGAUUAGGACCCACUCUCAUCCAGCAUGGCCUCAUCUUAACUCAUUACGUCUACAAAAUCUCCAUUUCCAAAUAAGGUCCCAUUCUGGGGUCCUGAGUGGACACGGCGGGGACACCAUCAACCCAUCCUAAGGCCUUCUUGGGCAGCCUCAGGGGGAAGCCGGACCAGCCUUAAGUGAAAGUGGAGGGUUCCAAGGAUCCUACAAAGGGGCCCUGACCCAGUCGGUGGGCAGCAGGGGACAGAGUGGACGUGGAACUUGUAGACAGACAGAACGAUGC